Molecule: ribosomal RNA, 254 nt
Filed under: uncultured bacterium
Lineage: Bacteria
Also listed under: 1 other name
Description: partial 16S ribosomal RNA
Rfam family: Bacterial small subunit ribosomal RNA
Source: RNAcentral
GACGUAGGGGGCGAGCGUUAUCCGGAUUCACUGGGCGUAAAGGGCGCGUAGGCGGUUACGCAAGUCGGAUGUGAAAAGUCACGGCUCAACUGUGAUCGUGCAUCCGAUACUGCGUUGACUUGAGGUCGGUAGAGGCAAGUGGAACUAGCGGUGUAGCGGUGAAAUGCGCAGAUAUCGCUAGGAACGCCGGUGGCGAAGGCGAUUUGCUGGGCCGUACCUGACGCUGAUGCGCGAAAGCUAGGGGAGCGAACCGG